GAUGAACGCUAGCGGCAGGCUUAACACAUGCAAGUCGAGGGGUAUAGGUUUUCGGACCUAGAGACCGGCGCACGGGUGCGUAACGCGUAUGCAACCUACCCUUUACAGAGGGAUAGCCCAGAGAAAUUUGGAUUAAUACCUCAUGGUAUAACACCACCGCAUGAUGGUGUUAUUAAAGUCACAACGGUAAAAGAUGGGCAUGCGUCCCAUUAGCUAGAUGGUAAGGUAACGGCUUACCAUGGCUACGAUGGGUAGGGGUCCUGAGAGGGAGAUCCCACACACUGGUAUUGAGACACGGACCAGACUCCGACGGGAGGCAGCAGUGAGGAAUAUUGGUCAAUGGACGCAAGUCUGAACCAGCCAUGCCGCGUGCAGGAUGACGGUCCUAUGGAUUGUAAACUGCUUUUGUACGAGAAGAAACAACAUUACGUGUAAUGUCUUGACGGUAUCGUAAGAAUAAGGAUCGGCUAACUCCGUGCCAGCCGCCGCAGUAAUAC
This 497-nucleotide ribosomal RNA is filed under the name uncultured bacterium. RNAcentral's name for it is "bacterial SSU rRNA". It matches the Rfam family "Bacterial small subunit ribosomal RNA", at positions 28 to 526 of the family's 1533-position model. The record is from RNAcentral.